UUUUCAUGCUUAGCUUUGUUAAUGUGUUCAAUAUGCUAUUUUUCAAAAAAUACCAGACAGUUGUCCAAAAAUAAUACACAAAUGUUCCUUUUUCAUUUUUCCCCAACAAUUAUUGCACAAUCUGUCUAGAAUUGCUCAGAUGAAUGAUAGAUGAGCAAAUAUGCAAAAGAAAUCUGCAUAUUCAUUGAAGAAACCUUGGGAAAUAAGAAAUGUUGUUGCCCUGAGCUACUAUUUGCCUUGCAAGUUUCUAAGGAAAGAUCUCUGUGUCCCUGAAGAGCAUAUGCUAAACAUCCUGACAUUUCCACUUGCAACGCACAGUAGACAGUGCCUGAGGCAAGCACUGGUGUAUGAGCUGGAUGGAGCUGAAUACAAUUCAUAUCAAAUAAGCCAGGGGACAGAGCACAGAGAACUCCCAUUUCCAAGAAUUAUCACCUGUUGGACUGCUUUGCUACAAAAUAUUGAUGGUGGGAAUGAGCAUAAAUGAAGAAACCUGCCCGUAUUGGGAAAGUUAUUAUACUUUUCUAAGGAUAGGAGCCUGGUGCUACAUUCUUUGAAUUCUUACAAUAUUAUCGGGUUUUCACCUGUUUCCAGGUGGUUUCUUGGUGACAUUAUGUGUAGUUUGAUUAUAUCAUCUAUAGUUUAAG
Molecule: long non-coding RNA, 644 nt
Organism: Cyanistes caeruleus (blue tit)
Lineage: Eukaryota; Metazoa; Chordata; Aves; Passeriformes; Paridae
Source: RefSeq, a predicted model, not a curated record